Molecule: ribosomal RNA, 198 nt
Filed under: uncultured bacterium
Lineage: Bacteria
Description: partial 16S ribosomal RNA
Rfam family: Bacterial small subunit ribosomal RNA
Source: RNAcentral
ACGCUCGACACCUACGGAGGCAGCAGUCGGGAAUAUUGCGCAAUGGAGGAAACUCUGACGCAGUGACGCCGCGUAUGGGAAGAAAGUUUUCGGAUUGUAAACCAUUUUAGACAGGGAAGAAAAAAGACAGUACCUGUAGAAUAAGCUCCGGCUAACUACGUGCCAGUAGCCGCGGUAAUCUGAGCGGGCUGGCAAGGC